CAAAUUCGUAGCAUUGUCAGUAGUCCCAGGUAUAGUUACAUUGGCUCGCUCCACUUUAUUCAUAUCUUCGGGUAAACCAUCGCUGGUGUGACUUUCCGAAGAGCGGGGCUUUUCAUCUCCCAUUCAGUGGUGAGGAAUUACAAUCUCCAUGAAAUGGGACGGUGAAGGAGUAGAGUCAAAGGGCUCAACAACAUGAAGCAUAGUAUCAGUGUUGCUGGGCUUAGCAUCUGAGGUGAGGUCUCCACACCUUAUGCAUGCAUGAAUAAUCGCUGGUGGAGUCGAGAGGACAAGUAAUUUACCAGUUGCACACUCCUUAAGGGACCCCGAGUGUAGUCCGCCUCCCCACCAGUGGCUUCUACUUCAACCCAGUGUGUGAUUUAUGUUGAACAGGUUAUUUUACGUUGCUUUUAAUAAG
Molecule: long non-coding RNA, 415 nt
Organism: Gasterosteus aculeatus aculeatus (three-spined stickleback)
Lineage: Eukaryota; Metazoa; Chordata; Actinopteri; Perciformes; Gasterosteidae
Source: Ensembl